RNAcentral lists this microRNA precursor (134 nucleotides) under Lolium arundinaceum. RNAcentral's name for it is "Festuca arundinacea miR166 stem-loop (far-MIR166)". Its record names the gene far-MIR166. The record is from miRBase by way of RNAcentral. Lineage: Eukaryota; Viridiplantae; Streptophyta; Magnoliopsida; Poales; Poaceae.
UUUCGGCAACUUUGGCAGGCUCCAUGCCUACGAGGCCGCAAGCUCGCGCAGCUAUACCCGCGCAACCAUGCGAGAUGGCAAUGAUUCCAAUGGAAUCCGGACCAGGCUUCAUCCCAGGCAUUUGGCCUCGUGCC